Long non-coding RNA from Phyllopteryx taeniolatus (common seadragon), 843 nucleotides. RefSeq lists it as uncharacterized. The transcript has 4 exons. NCBI's taxonomy places the organism in Eukaryota, Metazoa, Chordata, Actinopteri, Syngnathiformes, Syngnathidae. The record is from RefSeq and is a predicted model, not a curated record.
CCUUGUCGUCGCGUUCCAGCAUUUCUUGUUUCCACGUCACCGACUCACAUGGAGUUGUGCAUUUUUCGGUCCUGUCCUCUGUUCCAUAGCUGAAUAGCUGAAUUUAGGGUGAUGUCAUUUUGGCUCAUCGCGGGGAUGUUUAACUGUAUUUAAAUCAUCCUGAAAACAGCUUUGGAGUUGUCCGGAUGCCCUGCGGCACCAUGCUGCCUCUCACAGGUCAAGCUUAGUACUACCACAGACAUCAUUAAGUCCUGCAGUGUGCUGUCAUCUUGAGCACACUAGACACACCAUAAGAGCGUUUUUUGUUGUUAUUUUUAUCAUGUGCGGGAUCUCGCAUAUUAAUAAGAGGAUAAGAUGCUAAAAAUCAGAUUAAGCCAACUCAAAGUGGAGCAGUGUUGUCACGGUGCCUCUCCAACCUUUGGAUUUAUGGUUUUCUUUCACUUUUUGCCUCCUCUCCUCACCUUUUUUUCUCCCCCCUCCAUUCCCGAAUCGAUAAACAGAACCUCGGCUCAGCUGCAGCCAAGGCAAAUGUUUGAGCCACCUGUUGCAGGAAACUUGAAGCUCUCGGGAGAUGUGAAGAUGGAGAGAAUAAGGCUCUGCUCCAGCCUCUGAAACACACUGAAAAUGUGAAUGAAGUUAAUAUUAACCGACAUUACUAACAGCUAAUAUUCCAAACAUAAUGCAAGUGGCGAUAACAGUAAAAAUUUUGUAUUGCGUUGUAGUGAUAGAUGGCGCAAUGACUGCAAUCCAUUGAGCUUCAACACUGUAAUUACUUGCCUGCAUAAUGAUUGUACAUGUUGGCCACUAGGAGAGCAAAAAGCUCCAAAACAAACAUGAAACACA